GGUGCGUUAGUUCAGUAGGUUAGAAUAUCUGCAUGUCACGCAGGGGUUCACGAGUUCGAGUCUCGUACGCACCG
Molecule: transfer RNA, 74 nt
Filed under: Bacteroidaceae bacterium
Lineage: Bacteria; Pseudomonadati; Bacteroidota; Bacteroidia; Bacteroidales; Bacteroidaceae
Description: tRNA-Asp
Rfam family: tRNA
About the family: Transfer RNA (tRNA) molecules are approximately 80 nucleotides in length.
Source: RNAcentral